GCCCACCUAGCUCAGUCGGUAGAGCACACCCUUGGUAAGGGUGAGGUCAUCGGUUCGAUUCCGAUGGUGGGCACCA
RNAcentral lists this transfer RNA (76 nucleotides) under Fontimonas thermophila. RNAcentral's name for it is "tRNA_Thr_GGT". It matches the Rfam family "tRNA". From Rfam's summary of the family: Transfer RNA (tRNA) molecules are approximately 80 nucleotides in length. Their secondary structure includes four short double-helical elements and three loops (D, anti-codon, and T loops). Lineage: Bacteria; Pseudomonadati; Pseudomonadota; Gammaproteobacteria; Nevskiales; Nevskiaceae. The record is from RNAcentral. RNAcentral also lists the same sequence under 3 other names.